GACGAACGCUGGCGGCGUGCUUAACACAUGCAAGUCGAGCGGUAAGGCCCUUUCGGGGGUACGACGAGCGGCGAACGGGUGAGUAACACGUGGGUGACCUGCCCUCAGCUCUGGGAUAAGCCUGGGAAACCGGGUCUAAUACCGGAUAUGACUCCAUGACGCAUGUUGUGGGGUGGAAAGCCUUGUGCGGCUGAGGAUGGGCCCGCGGCCUAUCAGCUUGUUGGUGGGGUGAUGGCCUACCAAGGCGACGACGGGUAGCCGGCCUGAGAGGGCGACCGGCCACACUGGGACUGAGACACGGCCCAGAC
This 308-nucleotide ribosomal RNA is filed under the name uncultured bacterium. Its description in RNAcentral is "bacterial SSU rRNA". It matches the Rfam family "Bacterial small subunit ribosomal RNA", at positions 28 to 336 of the family's 1533-position model. The record is from RNAcentral.